GGUUAAGCGACUAAGCGUACACGGUGGAUGCCCUGGCAGUCAGAGGCGAUGAAGGACGUGCUAAUCUGCGAAAAGCGCCGGCGAGGUGAUAUGAACCUUUGACCCGGCGAUGUCCGAAUGGGGAAACCCAGUGUGUUCCGACACACUAUCGUUAACUGAAUACAUAGGUUAACGAGGCGAACCGGGGGAACUGAAACAUCUAAGUACCCCGAGGAAAAGAAAUCAACCGAGAUUCCCCCAGUAGCGGCGAGCGAACGGGGAGCAGCCCAGAGUCUGAAUCAGCUUGUGUGUUAGUGGAAGCGUCUGGAAAGUCGCACGGUACAGGGUGACAGUCCCGUACACGAAAGCACACAGGUUGUGAACUCGAAGAGUAGGGCGGGACACGUGGUAUCCUGUCUGAAUAUGGGGGGACCAUCCUCCAAGGCUAAAUACUCCUGACUGACCGAUAGUGAACCAGUACCGUGAGGGAAAGGCGAAAAGAACCCCGGCGAGGGGAGUGAAAAAGAACCUGAAACCGUGUACGUACAAGCAGUGGGAGCACCUUCGUGGUGUGACUGCGUACCUUUUGUAUAAUGGGUCAGCGACUUAUAUUCUGUAGCAAGGUUAACCGUAUAGGGGAGCCGAAGGGAAACCGAGUCUUAACUGGGCGUUAAGUUGCAGGGUAUAGACCCGAAACCCGGUGAUCUAGCCAUGGGCAGGUUGAAGGUUGGGUAACACUAACUGGAGGACCGAACCGACUAAUGUUGAAAAAUUAGCGGAUGACUUGUGGCUGGGGGUGAAAGGCCAAUCAAACCGGGAGAUAGCUGGUUCUCCCCGAAAGCUAUUUAGGUAGCGCCUCGUGAACUCAUCUUCGGGGGUAGAGCACUGUUUCGGCUAGGGGGCCAUCCCGGCUUACCAACCCGAUGCAAACUACGAAUACCGAAGAAUGUUAUCACGGGAGACACACGGCGGGUGCUAACGUCCGUCGUGAAGAGGGAAACAACCCAGACCGCCAGCUAAGGUCCCAAAGUCAUGGUUAAGUGGGAAACGAUGUGGGAAGGCACAGACAGCCAGGAUGUUGGCUUAGAAGCAGCCAUCAUUUAAAGAAAGCGUAAUAGCUCACUGGUCGAGUCGGCCUGCGCGGAAGAUGUAACGGGGCUAAACCAUGCACCGAAGCUGCGGCAGCGACACUAUGUGUUGUUGGGUAGGGGAGCGUUCUGUAAGCCGUUGAAGGUGUGCUGUGAGGCAUGCUGGAGGUAUCAGAAGUGCGAAUGCUGACAUAAGUAACGAUAAAGCGGGUGAAAAGCCCGCUCGCCGGAAGACCAAGGGUUCCUGUCCAACGUUAAUCGGGGCAGGGUGAGUCGACCCCUAAGGCGAGGCCGAAAGGCGUAGUCGAUGGGAAACAGGUUAAUAUUCCUGUACUUGGUGUUACUGCGAAGGGGGGACGGAGAAGGCUAUGUUAGCCGGGCGACGGUUGUCCCGGUUUAAGCAUGUAGGCGGAGGUUCCAGGUAAAUCCGGUACCUUUUAACGCUGAGGUGUGAUGACGAGGCACUACGGUGCUGAAGUAACAAAUGCCCUGCUUCCAGGAAAAGCCUCUAAGCAUCAGGUAACAUCAAAUCGUACCCCAAACCGACACAGGUGGUCAGGUAGAGAAUACCAAGGCGCUUGAGAGAACUCGGGUGAAGGAACUAGGCAAAAUGGUGCCGUAACUUCGGGAGAAGGCACGCUGAUAUGUAGGUGAAGCCCCUGCGGGUGGAGCUGAAAUCAGUCGAAGAUACCAGCUGGCUGCAACUGUUUAUUAAAAACACAGCACUGUGCAAACACGAAAGUGGACGUAUACGGUGUGACGCCUGCCCGGUGCCGGAAGGUUAAUUGAUGGGGUUAGCGGCAACGCGAAGCUCUUGAUCGAAGCCCCGGUAAACGGCGGCCGUAACUAUAACGGUCCUAAGGUAGCGAAAUUCCUUGUCGGGUAAGUUCCGACCUGCACGAAUGGCGUAAUGAUGGCCAGGCUGUCUCCACCCGAGACUCAGUGAAAUUGAACUCGCUGUGAAGAUGCAGUGUACCCGCGGCAAGACGGAAAGACCCCGUGAACCUUUACUAUAGCUUGACACUGAACACUGGUCCUUGAUGUGUAGGAUAGGUGGGAGGCUUUGAAGCGUGGACGCCAGUCUGCGUGGAGCCGUCCUUGAAAUACCACCCUUUAAUGGCUGGUGUUCUAACGUAGACCCGUAAUCCGGGUUGCGGACAGUGUCUGGUGGGUAGUUUGACUGGGGCGGUCUCCUCCCAAAGAGUAACGGAGGAGCACGAAGGUUAGCUAAUCCUGGUCGGACAUCAGGAGGUUAGUGCAAUGGCAUAAGCUAGCUUGACUGCGAGAGUGACGGCUCGAGCAGGUGCGAAAGCAGGUCAUAGUGAUCCGGUGGUUCUGAAUGGAAGGGCCAUCGCUCAACGGAUAAAAGGUACUCCGGGGAUAACAGGCUGAUACCGCCCAAGAGUUCAUAUCGACGGCGGUGUUUGGCACCUCGAUGUCGGCUCAUCACAUCCUGGGGCUGAAGUAGGUCCCAAGGGUAUGGCUGUUCGCCAUUUAAAGUGGUACGCGAGCUGGGUUUAGAACGUCGUGAGACAGUUCGGUCCCUAUCUGCCGUGGGCGCUGGAGAAUUGAGGGGGGCUGCUCCUAGUACGAGAGGACCGGAGUGGACGCAUCACUGGUGUUCGGGUUGUCAUGCCAAUGGCACUGCCCGGUAGCUAAAUGCGGAAAAGAUAAGUGCUGAAAGCAUCUAAGCACGAAACUUGCCCCGAGAUGAGUUCUCCCUGAGACUUUAAGUCUCCUGAAGGAACGUUGAAGACGACGACGUUGAUAGGUCGGGUGUGUAAGCGCAGCGAUGCGUUGAGCUAACCGAUACUAAUGAACCGUGAGGCUUAACCUU
RNAcentral lists this ribosomal RNA (2904 nucleotides) under Enterobacter roggenkampii. RNAcentral describes it as "23S ribosomal RNA". It matches the Rfam family "Bacterial large subunit ribosomal RNA". Lineage: Bacteria; Pseudomonadati; Pseudomonadota; Gammaproteobacteria; Enterobacterales; Enterobacteriaceae. The record is from RNAcentral.